Molecule: ribosomal RNA, 424 nt
Filed under: uncultured bacterium
Lineage: Bacteria
Description: bacterial SSU rRNA
Rfam family: Bacterial small subunit ribosomal RNA
Source: RNAcentral
UGGGGAAUAUUGGACAAUGGGGGCAACCCUGAUCCAGCAAUGCCGCGUGAGUGAUGAAGGCCUUAGGGUUGUAAAGCUCUUUCGGCGGGGACGAUGAUGACGGUACCCGCAGAAGAAGCCCCGGCUAACUUCGUGCCAGCAGCCGCGGUAAUACGAAGGGGGCGAGCGUUGUUCGGAUUUACUGGGCGUAAAGGGCGCGCAGGCGGCUUUGGAAGUCAGAUGUGAAAGCCCCGGGCUUAACCUGGGAAUUGCAUUUGAUACUCUGGAGCUAGAGUGUGGGAGAGGAUAGUGGAAUUCCCAGUGUAGAGGUGAAAUUCGUAGAUAUUGGGAAGAACACCGGUGGCGAAGGCGGCUAUCUGGACCACAACUGACGCUGAGGCGCGAAAGCGUGGGGAGCAAACAGGAUUAGAUACCCCCGUAGUCC